GAUGAACGCUAGCUACAGGCUUAACACAUGCAAGUCGAGGGGCAGCAUGGUCUUAGCUUGCUAAGGCCGAUGGCGACCGGCGCACGGGUGAGUAACACGUAUCCAACCUGCCGUCUACUCUUGGACAGCCUUCUGAAAGGAAGAUUAAUACAAGAUGGCAUCAUGAGUCCGCAUGUUCACAUGAUUAAAGGUAUUCCGGUAGACGAUGGGGAUGCGUUCCAUUAGAUAGUAGGCGGGGUAACGGCCCACCUAGUCUUCGAUGGAUAGGGGUUCUGAGAGGAAGGUCCCCCACAUUGGAACUGAGACACGGUCCAAACUCCUACGGGAGGCAGCAGUGAGGAAUAUUGGUCAAUGGGCGAGAGCCUGAACCAGCCAAGUAGCGUGAAGGAUGACUGCCCUAUGGGUUGUAAACUUCUUUUAUAAAGGAAUAAAGUCGGGUAUGGAUACCCGUUUGCAUGUACUUUAUGAAUAAGGAUCGGCUAACUCCGUGCCAGCAGCCGCGGUAAUACGGAGGAUCCGAGCGUUAUCCGGAUUUAUUGGGUUUAAAGGGAGCGUAGAUGGAUGUUUAAGUCAGUUGUGAAAGUUUGCGGCUCAACCGUAAAAUUGCAGUUGAUACUGGAUAUCUUGAGUGCAGUUGAGGCAGGCGGAAUUCGUGGUGUAGCGGUGAAAUGCUUAGAUAUCACGAAGAACUCCGAUUGCGAAGGCAGCCUGCUAAGCUGCAACUGACAUUGAGGCUCGAAAGUGUGGGUAUCAAACAGGAUUAGAUACCCUGGUAGUCCACACGGUAAACGAUGAAUACUCGCUGUUUGCGAUAUACUGCAAGCGGCCAAGCGAAAGCGUUAAGUAU
Molecule: ribosomal RNA, 847 nt
Filed under: uncultured bacterium
Lineage: Bacteria
Description: bacterial SSU rRNA
Rfam family: Bacterial small subunit ribosomal RNA
Source: RNAcentral